UUGCUGAUUUGCUGACGUAGUGGCGGACGGGUGAGUAAUAGUCUGGGAAACUGCCUGAUGGAGGGGGAUAACUACUGGAAACGGUAGCUAAUACCGCAUAACGUCGCAAGACCAAAGAGGGGGACCUUCGGGCCUCUUGCCAUCGGAUGUGCCCAGAUGGGAUUAGCUAGUAGGUGGGGUAACGGCUCACCUAGGCGACGAUCCCUAGCUGGUCUGAGAGGAUGACCAGCCACACUGGAACUGAGACACGGUCCAGACUCCUACGGGAGGCAGCAGUGGGGAAUAUUGCACAAUGGGCGCAAGCCUGAUGCAGCCAUGCCGCGUGUAUGAAGAAGGCCUUCGGGUUGUAAAGUACUUUCAGCGGGGAGGAAGGGAGUAAAGUUAAUACCUUUGCUCAUUGACGUUACCCGCAGAAGAAGCACCGGCUAACUCCGUGCC
This 438-nucleotide ribosomal RNA is filed under the name Enterobacteriaceae bacterium R9.62. RNAcentral describes it as "bacterial SSU rRNA". It matches the Rfam family "Bacterial small subunit ribosomal RNA", at positions 77 to 509 of the family's 1533-position model. The record is from RNAcentral. Lineage: Bacteria; Pseudomonadati; Pseudomonadota; Gammaproteobacteria; Enterobacterales; Enterobacteriaceae.